CUUGAACUUUAUAAGAGGUCCAGCCUGCCCAGUGACUCUGUUCAACGGCCGCGGUAUCCUAACCGUGCGAAGGUAGCGUAAUCACUUGUUCUUUAAAUGUGGACUAGUAUGAAUGGCACUACGAGGGUUAUACUGUCUCCUUUUUCUAAUCAGUGAAACUAAUUUUCCCGUGAAGAAGCGGGAAUACAACUAUAAGACGAGAAGACCCUAUGGAGCUUUAAACGACCUAGCAAUUACUUCUAAAAUUAUAAAUUUCAGAAUACUCAUUCUUUAAGCAAUAUGUCUGCAAGUUUUUGGUUGGGGUGACCAUGGAGAAUAACACAACCUCCAUAUUGAAUGAAUUUUUAUUCUAAGCUAAGAAUUACUAAUUAAAGCAUCAACACACUGACAUUUAUUGACCCA
RNAcentral lists this ribosomal RNA (402 nucleotides) under Rhinella castaneotica (Para toad). Its description in RNAcentral is "partial 16S ribosomal RNA". It matches the Rfam family "Bacterial large subunit ribosomal RNA", at positions 1835 to 2422 of the family's 2925-position model. RNAcentral also lists the same sequence under 1 other name. The record is from RNAcentral. Lineage: Eukaryota; Metazoa; Chordata; Amphibia; Anura; Bufonidae.